UCAUUCCUUUGUACCAAUGGAAUUACGUUGGAAUAGUGUUCCAUUGUUUGGAUAUACUGUACUGUAUUUAUCAUUCACCAGUUGAUGGAUAUUUGGGCUGUUUCCACCUUUUGGCUGGUUUGAAUAGUGCUGCUCUGAACAUUCCUGGAUGCAGCCUCAAGACCAUGCUCAGUGCCAUGUUCACUGGAGUGGGAAGCUGAUAUUCACUCUGCGGUGAGUCAACUUUCAACCGUCCUCCUGUGGAUUGUAUGGAAUAUUUGUCAUCUCAGACUGGCUUUCUCUUGGUCCAGACUUUCAAGAAAUGCCAGUGAAAGACCACAGGCACCACUAAAAGCCACCUGAAUGAGGGGAUGUUAUAGGUUCAAGAUCUGUUACAGAAGAAACCCAUUUUAGGAACUCCAUGGAACCUGGCUUCCAUCGAAGCUCUGACUCACUAGAGAUUUUGGCCACGUAGAAACUCUUGAUGCAAAGUUUGGACCAAUGUGACUGCAUGAAGGAUUUCCUGCAUUCAAGGUCUGGUAAGCAUCUGGCACUGGGGUCCCCGAAGCAAGGAGACUGCUGCAGAGGACUUGACCAUUUUCACUGCAUUGCCAAACCAGCCUUGAUUAUAUUGAUCCAGGACACCCCCCACCCCUACUCUUCAUCUCGGUCACACCGUCAAGUGUACCUAUUGCAUUUACACAAGAUAGAAACUUUGCAAGAAGUAAGGACUUCCAUGAUGCAUUUUAGAGAAGGGUUAUGACUUGAAUGGACUCCUUAUCAACUGGGAUUUGUCAGUUCAGGCAAAGUGGGCAUCUGUCCAUUUCCAGCGUUGCUGUAAGUGGACUCUAACACUGACUUACAUUGCUUCAGAUCUCCUUUCCUCCUACCUGAGAACUUCUGGAGGUGCUUGGGGCACUGACUCAUUUUCUACUGAUUUCCUGAAAGGGAUCCAAGACAGCAAUCACAUUGAAAAAAAAAAUCUGCCUCCAUCUUCCUGUUGCAUUAGAGUCAAGUUUGGCACUGCAGCUUGUUCCCUGUGGUUUUCAAAUGCAAGCUUGCCAUUAAGUAACUACUGAAAACAGAAUACUUUGUCUCCGAAUGUGUUUCUCUGAAUUGUCAGUAUGUAGGCUAGUAGCUCAAGAACAGCCACAACAGGAGCCAACAAUGCGCAGGAGUAGAUCCCCACCCUGCUGUCUCCCCGCCACCCAUGAAGCCCCAGCCUCCCUGCUGGCGAGGCUGAGCCUCAGCCGGGAAGUCUGUCUCCAGUGUCCUCCUCCCCAAUAACAUGUCUGGGUGCCUGGGACCUCCCAAAGUGUCACCUCGCUGGGAGUCUGUUCUCAGCAGAACUCUGUGCCUCAAAGCUCCCUCGUCACCUCCCCCUGGUCAAAAUAAACCUCAUUCUUCCGGCCUGAUUCUCUAAGCUAAUGUGCAAAACGGCUGGGUGGCCUCCCCUGGACAACACGUUCACAUUUGCAUCAGGCGCCAGGGCAUCUUCUGGAUGCGGUGCCUUGAUCUGAGGGAGGUACACUGGUGACAAAACUCUCAGCAGCAGGUCUAGGAGUGGGGGUGCCUGGAGGGGUGAGGCUGGCAGACGGUCAGGAUUGCUCAUCGAUGCCACCCGAGGGCUCCUAACUUGCCUUCUUUUUGGAGGCAUGACUGGUGUACCAGCAGGAACAGUGCCCUUCUACUCUCUCGCCACCAUUCUUGGUCCCCAGGUCCCAAACGUGGGUCCCAGAAGAUCUCUGUAACUGAGGCUUGGGAUGUAUAGUGUGAUCGCAAGCCACCUAGGCCCGAGGAGGUCUCAAAAGUUAAUUGUAUCUCAAGUUAAGGGUGAUGUAAAGGAUUUAGUUUAUUCUUUCCCAAAGUGUCUCUAGAAAGGAUUCAUUUUCUAGGUCUUUUAGUCCAAAACAAACCUCCCCCCCGCCCACCAAGGGUGUCCCUGCAGGGAUACCCUUCAGCCAUGACUACCUGGGGAAACAACUAUUUCCCAGAGGAGAUGCAAUUCUUGUUAAGCUACAAUCACCUGAAGCCAAUUCAAUCUACCAUCCAGUCAAUUCAGUGAGUGACAAGACUCAAGUCAAUGGCUUAGUGUAGCCUGGACCAGACAACAACAUACCUUAAAAUCAACAACUAAGUAUGUCUAUCUCCAUAGAAACAUAUUAGAUAUGCAUCCUAAUGAUAUAAUGUGAACAUUUAAAAUAUGUGCAAAAAACUGUGGAAGGAGCCUCGGUGUCCAUCGAAAGAUGAAUGGAUAAAGA
Molecule: long non-coding RNA, 2240 nt
Organism: Canis lupus familiaris (dog)
Lineage: Eukaryota; Metazoa; Chordata; Mammalia; Carnivora; Canidae
Exons: 3
Source: RefSeq, a predicted model, not a curated record